AUUAAUCAAUAGGGGAGCUUUAAAAGGCUGAGAGGAAAUAAAAUAUUUCGACCCUUAUAACCUGUUUGGGUAAUGCCAGCGUAGGGAAUCACUCUCAUAUUAUA
This is a non-coding RNA of Brachyspira sp. CAG:700, 104 nucleotides long. NCBI's taxonomy places the organism in Bacteria, Pseudomonadati, Spirochaetota, Spirochaetia, Brachyspirales, Brachyspiraceae. The record is from Rfam.